This 1020-nucleotide ribosomal RNA is filed under the name Alternaria dauci. Its description in RNAcentral is "SSU rRNA". It matches the Rfam family "Eukaryotic small subunit ribosomal RNA", at positions 75 to 1104 of the family's 1831-position model. RNAcentral also lists the same sequence under 4 other names. The record is from RNAcentral. Lineage: Eukaryota; Fungi; Ascomycota; Dothideomycetes; Pleosporales; Pleosporaceae.
UAUACCGUGAAACUGCGAAUGGCUCAUUAAAUCAGUUAUCGUUUAUUUGAUAAUACCUUACUACUUGGAUAACCGUGGUAAUUCUAGAGCUAAUACAUGCUGAAAAUCCCGACUUCGGAAGGGAUGUGUUUAUUAGAUAAAAAACCAAUGCCCUUCGGGGCUCUUUGGUGAUUCAUGAUAACUUUACGGAUCGCAUAGCCUUGCGCUGGCGACGGUUCAUUCAAAUUUCUGCCCUAUCAACUUUCGAUGGUAAGGUAUUGGCUUACCAUGGUUUCAACGGGUAACGGGGAAUUAGGGUUCGAUUCCGGAGAGGGAGCCUGAGAAACGGCUACCACAUCCAAGGAAGGCAGCAGGCGCGCAAAUUACCCAAUCCCGACACGGGGAGGUAGUGACAAUAAAUACUGAUACAGGGCUCUUUUGGGUCUUGUAAUUGGAAUGAGUACAAUUUAAACCUCUUAACGAGGAACAAUUGGAGGGCAAGUCUGGUGCCAGCAGCCGCGGUAAUUCCAGCUCCAAUAGCGUAUAUUAAAGUUGUUGCAGUUAAAAAGCUCGUAGUUGAAACUUGGGUCUGGCUGGCGGGUCCGCCUCACCGCGUGCACUCGUCCGGCCGGACCUUCCUUUUAGCGAACCUCAUGCCCUUCACUGGGCGUGCUGGGGAACUAAGACUUUUACUUUGAAAAAAUUAGAGUGUUCAAAGCAGGCCUUUGCUCGAAUACGUUAGCAUGGAAUAAUAAAAUAGGGCGUGCGUUUCUAUUUUGUUGGUUUCUAGAGACGCCGCAAUGAUUAACAGGAACAGUCGGGGGCAUCAGUAUUCAGUUGUCAGAGGUGAAAUUCUUGGAUUUACUGAAGACUAACUACUGCGAAAGCAUUUGCCAAGGAUGUUUUCAUUAAUCAGUGAACGAAAGUUAGGGGAUCGAAGACGAUCAGAUACCGUCGUAGUCUUAACCGUAAACUAUGCCGACUAGGGAUCGGGCGAUGUUCUUUUUCUGACUCGCUCGGCACCUUACGAGAAAUCAAAGU